GCAUAGGUUUUAUCAAAAAGAAAUAUUUCAAAAUAUAUUUUUAAAAAAGCUAAAGGAGGGGAUAAACGAUAGCAAAAGAGAUAACAAAGAUGACGAUAAAAAUAAUUUCUUAACUAACAACACAAAUGAUAUAAACAUAGAUGAAAAAAAUGAUAAUGGUGACGAUGAGAAUUUGUUGGGUGACAUACAUGACGUCAUAGAAGAAAUUGGUGGUAGUGUUGAAAAAAGUAAAGAGAAUAUAACGGAACAUGCUUUAAAGGGAAGCCCCAAAAAAGAACUAUCUCUGUUGGAUAGUAUUAAGGAAUGUAUAAAUGUCAAACAUUUUUUAAAGUAUGAUUGUGAAAAGUUUAUAAGCAGUUUACAAAUAAUAUUUCAAACGAAGUAUGCUAAUAGUAACAAUAUACAUGACAUAUGGUUAAUGCAAGAACAUAUUUUACAUAUAAUUGAAUUAUAUAAAGAUAGUUCAGAGUUUUGUUCUAGGGUUUUAGGUGUAUAUGUUCAAUUACAAAGUAAAAUGUAUAAUAAUGUUUUAAUUGAAGUUAUAAUUAAUAAAUUAUUGGCAUCUUUUAAUGAUAGUAAUUAUUAUUUUUAUAUUUCUCUAAUUCAUAGACUUUUAUUAAUAAAUAAAAACUUAGGAAGUGUAGUUAUCAGAUGCAUUAAAUUUAUUAUAAAUAAAAGUCUUGGUUUAUUAGAUAAUGAAUCCUUUUAUUUGUUUAUGGAGUUAUGUUUAUAUUUGUUAUCUCAUUUUUUAUUUGAAAAUAAGUUAGCAAGAAAUAAAGAAAUUUUUUUUAAACGAAAAUAUAAUGAUAUGAAUAAAAUUUUGCAAGUAAAGAAUGAAAAUAUGUUUCAGUCGAAUAUGAGCGUAGAACAGAAUAAUGAGUUUGGAAAUACACCAAAUUCAAAUGAUUUAAAAAGUAUUAGUAGCGGUAUGCCAGAAAAUAUGUCCUUCGAUAAGCAAAUGACAAUAAUCAGUGGAAAAAAUGAUAAUACUAAUAAUAAAGAUUUAGGAAGUGUCAAAAAAAAUGUUAUAUUAACAAAAAAUGAAAGUACUUUGAACAAAAUGAAAAGCCAUGAGUUAAAAGUACCUUAUAGUUUAGAUAUUGAUAUUAAAUAUAGCUCAGAUGAAGAGGAAGUGGAUGAUGAAAAAAAAAAAGAAGAAGCAAAAGUCGAAACAAAAACAAAUCGUAACAAUAUUGAUGGAUAUGGAGAAGACGAAGAUGUCGAUUAUGACGAUGAGGAGGGUGACGAUCGAAAAGAAAUGAACAUGAACCACCAUAACGAUGAUAGUGAUAAUCAGUGUGAUGAAGAAUACAAUGAACAUAAUCAUUUUGAUUGUUCUAUUUUUAUGGAAGAAUUACAAAAAUUGAAUAUGACUAAAAAUUUAAAAAGGUUUACUAGUUUAAUGUAUAAUGUAAAAAAAACAUAUCAUAGAAAAUGGGUAAGAAAUUUUUAUUUUAAAUCUUUUUCUUUAGUUUAUAGAAACGAUACAAAUAAUUUAAUACCCAAGUCAGUUAUUGAUUAUUGUAAUAGUUUUAUUCAUGUUAAAGAAAAAGAGCAUGAAAAAUUAUAUGAAUAUAUGAUUUUUCAGAAUAUUUUAAAAUAUACUUUAAAUGAAAUUAAUGAUAUGGAGGAUAAACAUAUUGACAUGGCUAAUUUAAAAAAAAAAAAUUAUGACAAUUAUAACAGCAACAAACGGACUAAUUUUACUAUUGAUACUGCCAAUAAUAAUAAUGCUUUACACAAUAGUAGUGGUGAUAAGAUUGCUGAUGAAAAUGCUAUAAAUGAAUUUAAAGUAGUAAUUAAUGAGUUAAUUGAAAAAUUUUUGCAAUAUUUAGAUGCAAAAAUGCAUUUGAAUAAAGUCCCAAUGUUUUUUAGCAAUAUAUCACAAAAUGUUUAUCUAUUAAAGGAAUAUAACAAUAAUAGAAAUAUUAACAAAUUAAAUGUUUUUUUUUUUGAUAGUUAUAUAUAUCCCAGUGAUUUUUUUAAAAAGUCAGAAAUUUGGGAUAGUCACAAUAUAUUAAUACUUUUUUUUAAGGCCGCAAUAUUUUUUGGAGAAUCCAAUGUAUCUGACUUAGAAAAAAUUUUUAAAAAUCAUGCAGUUCUAUUUCAUAAUUAUAAAAAUUCAAAUUAUAAUAUGCUUUCGGACGAUGCAAAAAAACAGUUUGACGUAGAACUAAUUAAAACGGUUUAUACAUAUUUUAAUAACUCGAUUUUAUUUAAUGUAAUUGUAAAUAUAUUACUUGAAAAUCAAAUAAUUGAUGAAUUUUCCGUUCUUUCUUUUAUUUUUGAUAUAUUGAGUGAUUCCAACUUAGACGAAUAUUAUGUCCAAAGACUUAUUUACGAAAUCGUAAAAAAUUUAAUUACGAAGAAAGAGCAAAACGAUUUAAAAAAAAACAACUUGAAAAGAAAACAAACUAAAAAUGAAAAUGAGGCAUUAAUAAAAGAAUUAGACGAUAAAAAUCAAGAACUGAAUAAUAAAAUUUUCCACUUGACAAAUGAAACAAUUAUGAUGUUCAGUAAAAAAAUGAUGCAAUUAAAAAAUGAGUCCAAUUCAUAUAUGAGCAAAGAAAUGUUAAAAGAAUCAUUAGUAUAUAUGCGAACAUUUGGUAAAUACAUAGAUAUCGACAAUUUUAUGCAGUCAUGUCAGGAUUAUGCCUUUGCGUCAGAAUUAAUGGAGUUAGGAACCGUUUUUAAAUAUGCUAGUUUAAAAAAA
RNAcentral lists this long non-coding RNA (2713 nucleotides) under Piliocolobus tephrosceles (Ugandan red Colobus). RNAcentral's name for it is "lncRNA (ENSPTEG00000008483.1)". The record is from RNAcentral. Lineage: Eukaryota; Metazoa; Chordata; Mammalia; Primates; Cercopithecidae.